Molecule: long non-coding RNA, 700 nt
Organism: Ornithorhynchus anatinus (platypus)
Lineage: Eukaryota; Metazoa; Chordata; Mammalia; Monotremata; Ornithorhynchidae
Exons: 3
Source: RefSeq, a predicted model, not a curated record
GUGGGGAUGAGGAGGAAGGAAGGAGGAGGGAAUAGGAAAGGGGGGGGAAGGAGUCCUCUACACUGUCACCUCGUGAACCGGGAUCGCGUCUACCAAUUCUGCUCCGCUGGACUCUCCCAAACCACACAACCAGGCCGGCCGAGUCCUCCUCCGCCUCUGGACUCCGGUGGGGUCGCGGGGUCCCCACCCCCAAAAGACUUCCGCCGCGCGUGGCGAAGCUGACGUUCCGGAUUCGGCCACGGUCCGAGCCUGAGGAGGGACAGAGACACGGCGCGGAGGCGGCGGGGUUGGUCGGGGUCUCCGUGGGAUCAUCAUCAUCAUCAUCAUCAUCAUCAUCCCGGCAUCCGUCGAGCGCUUCCUCUGGGCCGAGCGCCGUUCUAAGCGCCGGGCUGGAUCCGGCUUUAUCGCGUUGGACCCGGGCCCCCGUGGGACUCACAACUCUUCACCCCCGUUUUCCAGGUGAGGGAACGGAGGCCCGGAGAAGCGCAGUGACUCUCCCGAGGUCAGCCGGCAGACGAGGGACGGAGCCGGGACGGGAACCCGGGUCCCUCUGACUCCCGGGUCCGGGGCUCUACCCGCCGGGCCGCCCUGCGCGUCACUGCAACAGCGGGUAGCCACGUGUCCCCUGCCCUCAACCUACACGAGGACUCCAAAAUUCACCAUUUUGGCCACUCCGACUUAUAUUAUAAUUAUGAUGAUA